This 301-nucleotide long non-coding RNA is filed under the name Mytilus galloprovincialis (Mediterranean mussel). The record is from RNAcentral. Lineage: Eukaryota; Metazoa; Mollusca; Bivalvia; Mytilida; Mytilidae.
GCUCAAUAAACCAAAACAUGGUGGAAAAUCACAAAAUAGUCCUCAAUAUAAGAUAUGCCAGAAGCCUCCACCAGCCAAAAUGUAUCAUAGUUCAUCACCAGGUUCAUCUAAAAAGCACUCGUGCACGCCGCAAAAAUCCAUCAGUCCUAAAAGAAUUAGAACACUCUCUCCAUUGAAACACUCACCGGCAUCUUUUUCAGCGAAUGACAACACAACUUCAAGUAAUCCUGAAGACGAUCUGAUACACAAAUUUAAUAAUACUUUUAGAUAUUUGGGUGAUAUUUUGGCUCUCAAUAAUGAC